UCGAAAUGGAGCUGUCGUGAAGCAGAAAUUUGGUGAGGCAUUAGAAUCAUGCUGCCUUACAGGGUCUGUAGAAAACCAAGUAGAUUCUCUUUGCAAGCAUGUUAUGAAAUCUGCGGAAAUUAUAUCCAAUGGUGAUGCAGUGCAAGAAGUUGACAAGGAGGUGAUAGAGUUGAUACCAGUACCAGAUACUGAAAAUACAUCUGAUGGCCAUGGAGCUCCUGAAAAAUGUGUCUUUAACGAUAGUGAGACUGGCUUCGGUCAAGCAAAGUUGAUUCUCUUUGAGGAUGCUGAUAUCAAUUUCCCCGAAGAUCGUGGUUUUAUUGCUGCCAUACAGCAAAUUACUGAAAAAGCAAAGGGGCCUGUGAUACUGACUAGUAAUAGUAAGAUGGAUUUAGGGUUGAAACAGUUUUAUUUUUUCUUGACCCUUGUAUGACUUGAUAUAUUUCUUCAUAACUCCAUGUUGUGAUGGUAAUUCUCAGGUACAAAGCUUAUUCUGCCAGACAACUUGGGCAGGCUAGAGUUAUGUUUCACAAUGCCAUCACCAGAAGUGCUGCUUCACCAUCUUUAUAUGGUUUGUGAAGCAGAGAGAGCCUCCAUUCAACCACAUUUACUAAAGCAAUUAAUUAAAUGUUGUCAGAGUGAUAUCCGGAAAACUAUUAUGCACCUCCAGUUUUGGUGUCAAGGAAAAAAAACAUCAAAAAGUUAGUAAAUUGCAGAAGACUUAUGGCUUGCAGCUGUUUGAUAUCGAGGCGGGUCAUUCGGUACUACCAACUAUGAUCCCUUGGGAUUUACCAUCUCAGUUAUCAGAGUUAGUUGAGAAGGAAUUUUCUAAGACAUUAUCCAUAACUGAAGACGAUUCAACUUUAAUGGAGGUGAUGGAGGAAGAACUUGAAAACAACAUAUAUAAUGGUUUGGAGAUACAUAAUAAAGAGAUGGACAGC
Molecule: long non-coding RNA, 941 nt
Organism: Hibiscus syriacus
Lineage: Eukaryota; Viridiplantae; Streptophyta; Magnoliopsida; Malvales; Malvaceae
Exons: 4
Source: RefSeq, a predicted model, not a curated record